GGGUAAGAGUGAUUCUAGGGCUUCGGCUCGACUCUCCACCCUUUGUUAACGUACCUCUGUUGCUUUGGUGGCUCCUGCCGCCUUAGCGACCUACCAACUCCAGUCACCAAAGGCAUACGUCUGAUAAACAUGUUUAUAAACUAAAACUUUCUACAACGGAUCUCUAUGGUUUUGGACUUUAUGAAAAAGAUCUCAAGGCUCU
RNAcentral lists this ribosomal RNA (202 nucleotides) under uncultured Ascomycota. RNAcentral's name for it is "partial 18S ribosomal RNA". Lineage: Eukaryota; Fungi; Ascomycota. The record is from RNAcentral.